This is a non-coding RNA of Pelobates cultripes (western spadefoot toad), 273 nucleotides long. NCBI's taxonomy places the organism in Eukaryota, Metazoa, Chordata, Amphibia, Anura, Pelobatidae. The record is from the annotation of a GenBank genome assembly.
CCGAAUUUCACCCAGAUCGGUUCAGGGGUUUGCAAAAACUAUGGAGGUCUUCUGUGACCGGCUCACCCUGCGCUGUAUGCCCAAAACAAUUCCAUGAGUUUAGUGGGUUUUGCCGGUCACUUUAGAAAUAGAAGAAAACUGAACAAACUACCGAAUGGAUUCCCCUGUCUCUUAGCAGCAAUUGUUCCCCUCUGUCGAAUGCACCAAAGUACAGAAUAGCGCUCUUAUAGCUAUUCGGUAAGUAGAGUUCCAGCGUUCGUCUGUUUGGGACCG